This 114-nucleotide ribosomal RNA is filed under the name Periophthalmus magnuspinnatus. Lineage: Eukaryota; Metazoa; Chordata; Actinopteri; Gobiiformes; Gobiidae. The record is from RNAcentral.
AGAAACAACCAUUGUACCUUGAGACGCAACAAUUCCGUCUGAUCUCUGAUGGUAAGCACGGUUUGGCCCGGUUAGCACUGUGAUGGGAGACCACUGGGAAUACCGAGCGCUGUA